RNAcentral lists this transfer RNA (84 nucleotides) under Echinostoma caproni. It matches the Rfam family "tRNA". Rfam says of the family: Transfer RNA (tRNA) molecules are approximately 80 nucleotides in length. Their secondary structure includes four short double-helical elements and three loops (D, anti-codon, and T loops). The record is from Rfam by way of RNAcentral. Lineage: Eukaryota; Metazoa; Platyhelminthes; Trematoda; Plagiorchiida; Echinostomatidae.
GGCCUCGUAGCUCAGCUGGUAGAGUGUGCGCUGUAAAAAAACGUGCGCGGCAUCCAUUCGUGGGUUCGAAUCCCGCCGAGACUA